This 6738-nucleotide long non-coding RNA is filed under the name Salmo salar (Atlantic salmon). Its description in RNAcentral is "lncRNA (ENSSSAG00000088205.1)". The record is from RNAcentral. Lineage: Eukaryota; Metazoa; Chordata; Actinopteri; Salmoniformes; Salmonidae.
CCAACAUCGUUUUAGAGAAUUUGGCAAUACGUACAACCGGCCUCACAACCGCAAACCAUGUGUAACCACUCCAGCCCAUAGCUGGCUUCUUCACCUGCGGAAUCGUCUGAGACCAGCCACCCGGACAGCUGAUGAAACUGUGGGUUUGCACAUCCAAAGAAUUUCUGCACAAACUGUCAGGGAAGCUCAUCUGCGUGCUCGUCGUCCUCACCAGGGUCUUGACCUGACUGCAGUUUGGCGUCGUGACCAACUUCAGUGGGAAAAUGUUCACCUUCCAUGGCCACUGGCAUGCUGGAGAAGUGUGCGCUUCACGGAUGAAUCCCAGUUUCAACUGUACCGGGCAGAUGGCAGACAGUGUAUGGCAUUGUGUGGGCGAGCGGUAUGCUGAUAACAACAUUGUGAACAGAAUGCACCAUGGUGGCGGUGGGGUUAUGGUGUGGGCAGGCAUAAGCUAUGGACUAUAUUUUGCAUUUUAUCGAUGGAAAUUUGAAUGCACAGAGAUAGUGACGAGAUUCAUCCACCGUCAUCACCUUAUGUUUAAGCAUUAUAAUGAACGUCCUCAUGUCACAAGGACCUGUACACAAUUCCUGGAAGCUGAAAAUGUCCCAGACCUGUACACAAUUCCUGGAAGCUGAAAAUCCCCAGACAUGACACCCAUUGAGUUUGGGAAGCUCUGGAUUGACGUGUAUGACAGCAUGUUCCAGUUUACGCCAAUAUCCAGCAAAUUCGCAGAGCCAUUGAAGAGAAGUGGGACAACAUUCCACAGGCCACAAUCAACAACCUGAUCAACACUAUGCGAAGGUAUCUGUGACCAACAGAUGUAUAUCUGUAUUCCCAGUCAUGUGAAAUCCAUAGACUAGGGCCUAAUGAAUUUAUUUUAAUUGACUGAUUUCCUUAUUUAACCUGUUAUGGAUAGGGGGCAGUAUUUUCACGGCCGGAUAAAAAACGUACCCGAUUUAAUCUGUUUAUUACUCCUGCCCAGAAACUAGAAUAUGCAUAUAAUUGUUUGGUUUGGAUAGAAAACACCCUAAAGUUUCUAAAACUGUUUGAAUGGUGUCUGUGAGUAUACCAGAACUCAUAUGGCAGGCCAAAACCUGAGAAGAUUCCAAACAGGAAGUGCCCUCUGACCAUUUCUUGGUCUUCUAUACCCUCUUUAUUGAAAACAGAGGAUCUCUGCUGUAACGUGACACUUUCUAAGGCUCCCAUAGGCUCUCAGAAGGCGCCAGAACGUUGAAUGAUGACUUUGCAGUCCAUAGCUGAAAAACAGUAGCGCAUUUGGAUAGUGGUCGAUCUGAGAACAAUGAGACGGGUGCGCGCGUGCAUGUGAAGAGUCCAUUUUGCAUUUUCAGUCUUUGAACGAAAACAACGACUCCCGGUCGGAAUAUUAUCGCUAUUUUACGAGAAAAAUUGCAUAAAAAUUGAUUUUAAACAGCGUUUGGCAUGCUUCGAAGUACGGUAAUGGAAUAUUUUUAAAUUUUUUGUCACGAUACGCGCCGGCGCGUCACCCUUCGUUACCCUUUGGAUAGUGUCUUGAACGCAAGAACAAAACGCCGCUAUUUGGAUAUAACUAUGGAUUAUUUGGAACCAAACCAACAUUUGUUGUUGAAGUAGAAGUCCUGGGAGUGCAUUCUGACGAAGAACAGCAAAGGUAAUCCAAUUUUUCUUAUAGUAAAUCUGAGUUUGGUGAGUACCAAACUUGGUGGGUGUCAAAAUAGCUAGCCUGUGAUGGCCGGGCUAUCUACUCAGAAUAUUGCAAAAUGUGCUUUCACCGAAAAGCUAUUUUAAAAUCGGACACCGCGAUUGCAUAAAGGAGUUCUGUAUCUAUAAUUCUUAAAAUAAUUGUUAUGUAUUUUGUGAACGUUUAUCGUGAGUAAUUUAGUAAAUUCACCGGAAGUGUUCGGUGGGAAUGCUAGUUCUGAACGUCACAUGCUAAUGUAAAAGGCUGGUUUUUGAUAUAAAUAUGAACUUGAUUGAACAAAACAUGCAUGUAUUGUAUAACAUAAUGUCCUAGGAGUGUCAUCUGAUGAAGAUCAUCAAAGGUUAGUGCUGCAUUUAGCUGUGGUUUUGGUUUUUGUGACAUUAUAUGGUAGCUUGAAAAAUGGGUGUCUGAUUAUUUCUGGCUGGGUACUCUCCUGACAUAAUCUAAUGUUUUGCUUUCGUUGUAAAGCAUUUUUGAAAUUGGACAGUGUGGUUAGAUAAAGGAGAGUAUUGUCUUUAAAAUGGUGUAAAAUAGUCAUAUGUUUGAAAAAUGGCAGUUUUCGGAUUUUCGAGGAGUUUGUAUUUCGCGCCACGCCCUAUCAUUGGAUAUUGGAGCGGUGUUCCGCUAGCGGAACGUCUAGAUGUAAGAGGUUAAACUGUAACUCAUUAAAAUCUUAGAAAUUGUUGCAUGAUGCGUUUAUAUUUUUGUUCAAUGUAAAUGGUGGGAGACAGAUUUACGUUUACUAUUUUACGUCUACCCCUGAGUCAAGGUUGACAGGUCAGUAAUGCCUGGGGUCACAUUACAUGGCUAAGUCAAUAAACUGGAUGCACACAGUACAGGGAGACAGUGAGAGAGUGGUCUCUGUAGCUGACCGAAAGUCAUUGGGAACUUUGUUUCACCUUUGCAGUCUUGAUUUCAAUUUCAAGUUCGAACAAUCAUAUACUUGUCAAAUACUUAACCUGGAAGGCAUGCAAAAACAUUGCAGAGAGGAUCAAAUAUAGGCCAUAUGAUGAGCUUCAGAUCCAUGUGACUGGUUGAAGUCUUAGGAUUGACAUACUGUUUGGUGCUGGCUACGCCAGUCAAAUCCUUCUCCAAAGGGAGAAGGGGACUAUUUUCAACUGGUUCCUUUUGAAGUUUCCUAAAACUAAUGACCAGACUGGGGAGUUGAAGCUGCCCAGUUUGAGGCUGCUAUGUCAUUUAAUGCAGCCCUACAUGGUGGGCUAGUACGAUGGCCGUGAAGAGCAAAGUAGCUUUUAAGAUUUUUAAUAGAGCAGCUCUACAGGGUGUAACAAGAUUACUCAUAAUGCUUUAGCCAGAAUGCAUCGGAGGACCAUUUCCUAAGUGCACAUUUUCAUGAGUAGUCUUGUGUCGCAGGAAAUGAGCUGAUGAUUGGCUGGUAUUUAUGCUAUGACGUCAUGGUAUGUGAUAAUGGAUCAUUGAAGAGUCAGAAUGUACUCAUUGACUGCGUUUACACAGGCAGCCCAAUUCUGAUCUUUUUACACUUACUGGUCUUUUGCCUGAUCAGAUCAGCUCUUUUGACAAUAAUUGGGCAAAAGAUAAGAAUUGGGCUGCCUGUGUAAAUACAGCAUAGUGUCAAUAGUGGAACUUUUCUACACUUUGUUGAGGAUAAAGCGCAUGAUGAUAUAUCAAGAUGUCACAGGUGUGAUGAAUGCCCUAAUUUAUUAUUAUGUAUGUGCUCCUAAUUUAGUGUUUGUUAAUUGAUUGAUUAAUUGAGACCUGUGAUUACCUCCCUGUUUUUCUUUCUUUCGUUUGAGGUGUGGCCACCCAGGGAAAGGUGCAGGUGAGAGGGAAGCGGUGGCAGACUGAAAAAAAACAAAUCUCUGGAGAGACCUGAAAAUAGCUGUGCAGCAACGCUCCCCAUCCAACCUGACAGAGCUUGAGAGGAUCUGCAGAGAAGAAUGGGAGAAACUCCCCAACACAGUGAUAAAGACUGACGUCAAAGAGACCACAUUGAAGUCCUCCAUCCCCCACUUAGUCUGACUGCUGUUCUCUCUGGCUCCACUACAAACCCCCGCCCGGCUAUCUAGAGGUUCCCGUGCUAUUGGGAUUCUCCUGGCUCCAGCGACACAAUCCCCUCAUUGACUGGUCUGCUGGUGCCAUCAUGGGCUGGAGCCCGUUCUGCCACGCCCAUUGCCUGAAGUCAGCGCAGCCUGCCCUGGGAUGUCUCCCUGGGGGCUCGGAAGUUGCCCCGGACCUCUCCGCCUUUCCCGCAGAGUACCUGGAUCUCCGGGAGGUGUUCAGUAAGGCCCGGGCCACUUCGCUUCUGCACAGGGUUCUCUUUGUGAAGAAGGACAAAACCCUGCCCCCGUUCAUCAACUGCCGGGGUCUCAAUGACAUCAUGGUGAAGAACCGCUACCCGCUACCCCUCAUCUUCUCGGCCUUCGAGCCUCUCCAGGGGGCCACCAUGUUCUCCAAGCUGGACCUACGGAAUGCCUACCACCUGGUGCGGAUACGGGAAGGGGACGAGUGGAAGUCUGCCUUCAACAUGGCCAGCGGUCACUACGAGUAUCUGGUCAUGCCAUUUGGCCUUACCAACACCCCUGCUGUGUUCCAGGCUCUGGUUAAUGAUGCUCUCCGUGACAUGUUGAACCGGUUCGUCUUUGUCUACCUCGAUGACAUCCUUGUCUUCUCCCGCUCCACCCAAAAACACGUGCUCCACGUCCGACAUGUUCUCCAAUGCCUCCUGGAGAACCAGCUUUUUGUAAAAGCAGAUAAGUGUGAAUUCCAUCGCUUCACCAUCCCCUUUCUGGGUUACAUCAUCGCCGCAGGGAGUGUACAGAUGGAUCCCGGAAAGGUGAGAGCUGUGGUGGAUUGGCCCCAGCCUACGUCCAGGGUGCAACUGCAACAUUUCCUGGGAUUCAGCAACUGUUAUCGCUGCUUUAUCGGGGGUUACAGCACCCUGGCUCCCCCUCUGUCUGCACACCUCUCCCAAGGUUCUGUUCACAUGGUCCCCAGCUUCUGACCGGGCGUUCUGGGAUCUAAAACACCGCUUCACCACAGCUCCCAUCUUGGUUCAUCCUGACCCGUCCCACCAGUUUGUGGUGGAGGCUGAUGCUUCGGAUGUCGGAGUGGGGGCUGCCCUGUCCCAGCGUUCUGCCCUGGACCUCAAGUUACAUCCCUGCUUCGCCUUCUGCCACCGCCUCAAUGCCACAGAGAGGGACUACGAUGUGGGAAAUCGCGAGCUUUUUGCAGUGAAGAUGGCGUUGGAGUGGAGGCACUGGCUGGAGUGGGCAGAACAUCUGUUCAUUGUGUGGACUGACCACAAGAACCUGGAAUAUCUCCGCACCGCCAAGCGCCUCAAUUCCAGGCAAGCUAGGUGGGCCCUGCUGUUCACCCAGUUCAACUUCUCCCUCUCAUACUGGCCGGAAUCCAAGAAUGUCAAGCCGGAUGAGCUGUCACGCCGCUAUAGCCCCACGGCUUCAAACCCGAAAACCGAGACCAUCCUUCCCACCUCAUGCCUGAUGACUGCACUCAGCUGGGGAAUAGGGGAGAAGGUUCAUGAGGCGCAGUUUUCCCAGCCGAACCCCAGGGAGGCCCAGAUAACCAGAUGUUCGUUCCUGACGCGGUCCGCUCCUUGGUCCUGGAGUGGGCCCACUUCUCCAGGCUUGCCUGCCACCCGGGCUCCCGGCAGACCCUGGCCUUUGUGUGACAACACUUUUGGUGGCCUACCAUGGUUCCUGAUGUCUCCCUGUUCGUCACCGCAUGCACGAUUUGUGUACAGAACAAGACUCCUCGGCAAGCUCCGGCUGGUCUCUUUCAACCUCUUCCUGUCCCUCACCGUCCCUGGUCUCACAUAUCCCUGGACUUUGUCACGGGUCUCCCCCCGUCUGAUGGCAACACCAAAGCCGCCCACUUCAUUCCUCUCCCCAAACUACCCUCUGCCAAAGAGACGGCCCAGCUCAUGGUGCAGCACGUCUUCCGGAUCCAUGGACUGCCAAUGGACAGGGUCUCCGACCGGGGUCCUCAGUUCUCGUCCCAGUUCUGGAGUGCGUUCUGCACACUCAUUGGGUCAUCAGCCAUCCUGUCCUCCGGGUUCCACCCCAGUCCAAUGGCCAGUCGGAGCAAGCCAACCAAGACCUGGAGACGACUCUGCGCUGCCUGGUCUCCGCCAACCCCACCACCUGGACCUGGAGCCAGAAACUAGUGUGGGUCGAAUACGCCUGCAACACCCUUCCUUGCUCUGCCACGGGUCUCUCGUCCUUUGAGUGUUCCCUGGGGUAUCGGACCCCACUCUUCCCUGAGCUUGAGGAAGAGGUCGGCAUACCUUCGGCCCAGAUGUUUGUCCGCCGCUGUCAUCGUACCUGGAAGAGAGUCCGGUUGGCCCUUCUCAAGACCACCUCCAGGUAUCGACGACAAGCGGAUCGCCACUAUCCCCGGAUGCCCGGUAUUGUCUCGGGCAGAAUGUAUGGCUGUCCUCCCGGGAUCUGCCCCUCCGAGUGGAAUCCCGCAAACACUCCCCCCGGUUUAUCGGCCUUUUCCCCAUCUCAAAGGUCAUUAGCCCCUCUGCUGUUCGUCUUCUGUUGCCCCGUACCCUCCGUAUUCAUCCCACUUUCCUGGCCCACGCCUCUCCCUGUAUCAUCAACGGCCAACAGGCCUAUACUGUAAGGCGUCUCCUGAUGGUUUGACCUUGUGGCAGGGGGUUCCAGUACCUGGUUGACUGGGAGGGUUAUGGCCCAGAGGAGAGGUGCUGGGUCCCCGCUAGGGGUGCCAGGUCCCAGGUGUCACCAAUCUUCCCCAAUAUCACCAGUGUAUUUAUACCUGUGUUCUCUGUUUUGUCUGUUGUCAGUUGGUUUUGUUUCGUGAAAACUACCUGCAUUUCCCCCCUUGCUCCUGUCUGUUCUGUUUCCUAGUUUGACCAUUCUGCCUACCCUGAGCCUGCCUGCCAUUCUGUACCUUGCAACACCACACUGGAUUAUUGACACCUGCCUGCUCUGACCCUGAGACUGCCUGCCGUUCUGGACCUUUUGCACCCUGGAUUAGUGACCUCUGCCUGCCCUUGACCUGUUGUUUUGUCUGCC